AUGGACGCAGGUUCCGACUUGAUGUCGCCGGAGAAGAGCGGCAGGCGGGGCGCGCGGCCGCCGCUCCGGGAGGCCGGCGCGACGCCCUCCAUGCCGCCGCUCCAGGAGCCCGGCUCCAGGCCCAGGCCCUACAUGCCGUCCCUCUGCUCCACGCCCCGCAACCCUGCCGUCAAGUGCUAUGGCGACAGGUUCAUCCCUGACAGGUCGGCGAUGGACAUGGACAUGGCGCACUACCUGCUGACGGAGCCGAGGAAGGACAGGAAGAACGGGGCGACGCCGUCGCCGGGGAAGGAGACGUACCGGAAGCUGCUGGCGGAGAAGCUGCUCAACAACCGCACCAGGAUCCUCGCCUUCCGCAACAAGCCACCGGAGCCUGAGAACAGCAUCUUCACGGAGCUCCGUGCCGAUGUGGCCUCCGUCCAGGCCAGACCGGCGAAGAAGCGUCGAUACAUCCCUCAGUCCGCUGAUAGGACUCUGGAUGCACCAGACCUCGUUGACGAUUACUACCUCAACCUGCUGGACUGGGGAAGCGCCAACGUGCUGUCCAUUGCACUGGGCAACACGGUUUACCUCUGGGACGCCGCAAGUGGGUCUACAUCCGAGCUUGUUACCGUUGAUGAGGACGAUGGCCCUGUCACUAGUGUUAGCUGGGCUCCUGAUGGCCAGAACAUUGCUAUUGGCCUCAACUCCUCUGCUGUCCAGAUAUGGGAUUCCAGCUCGAACCGACUGCUGAGGACACUGCAAGGUGCGCAUGAGUCGAGAGUCGGUUCACUGGCAUGGAACAAGAGCAUCCUGACCGCUGGUGGUAUGGACGGCAAGAUUGUGAACAACGAUGUGAGGAUUAGGGACCAUGCUGUGCAGACAUACCGCGGGCACUCGCAGGAGGUGUGUGGCCUCAAGUGGUCCGGAUCAGGGCGGCAGCUAGCCAGCGGUGGAAACGACAACCUCCUCCACAUAUGGGAUGUGUCCAUGGCAUCCUCUGCACAAUCUGCAGGCCGCACCCAAUGGCUACACAGGAUGGAAGACCACUCGGCUGCUGUGAAGGCGCUCGCAUGGUGCCCAUUCCAGAGCAACCUGCUCGCAUCGGGUGGCGGCGCAAAUGACCGAUGCAUCAAGUUCUGGAACACACACACCGGCGCAUGCCUCAACUCAGUCGACACCGGGUCACAAGUCUGUGCGCUGCUAUGGAACAAGAAUGACAGAGAGCUGCUGAGCUCGCAUGGAUUCACUCAGAACCAGCUGACAUUGUGGAAGUACCCUUCGAUGGCCAAGAUGGCCGAGCUCAAUGGCCAUACCUCCCGUGUCCUCUUCAUGGCUCAGAGCCCUGAUGGUUGCACGGUGGCAUCUGCUGCAGCAGACGAGACCCUGCGCUUCUGGAAUGUCUUUCCUGAUGCUCCGAAGUCUGCAGUCAAAGAGAAGGCUACCCAGAGCAGAUUGUUCAACAGCUACAAUCACCUGCGCUAG
Molecule: ribosomal RNA, 1464 nt
Filed under: Triticum aestivum (bread wheat)
Lineage: Eukaryota; Viridiplantae; Streptophyta; Magnoliopsida; Poales; Poaceae
Description: partial small subunit ribosomal RNA
Source: RNAcentral